GACGAACGCUGGCGGCGUGCUUAACACAUGCAAGUCGAACGGAAAGGCCCUGCUUUUGUGGGGUGCUCGAGUGGCGAACGGGUGAGUAACACGUGAGUAACCUGCCCUUGACUUUGGGAUAACUUCAGGAAACUGGGGCUAAUACCGGAUAGGAGCUCCUGCUGCAUGGUGGGGGUUGGAAAGUUUCGGCGGUUGGGGAUGGACUCGCGGCUUAUCAGCUUGUUGGUGGGGUAGUGGCUUACCGAGGCUUUGACGGGUAGCCGGCCUGAGAGGGUGACCGGCCACAUUGGGACUGAGAUACGGCCCAGACUCCUACGGGAGGCAGCAGUGGGGAAUAUUGCACAAUGGGCGGAAGCCUGAUGCAGCAACGCCGCGUGCGGGAUGACGGCCUUCGGGUUGUAAACCGCUUUCGCCUGUGACGAAGCGUAAGUGACGGUAAUGGGUAAAGAAGCACCGGCUAACUACGUG
RNAcentral lists this ribosomal RNA (468 nucleotides) under uncultured bacterium. Its description in RNAcentral is "partial 16S ribosomal RNA". It matches the Rfam family "Bacterial small subunit ribosomal RNA", at positions 28 to 507 of the family's 1533-position model. The record is from RNAcentral.